RNAcentral lists this long non-coding RNA (1349 nucleotides) under Panax ginseng (ginseng). Its description in RNAcentral is "long non-coding RNA (PGIN_LNC002586)". The record is from RNAcentral. Lineage: Eukaryota; Viridiplantae; Streptophyta; Magnoliopsida; Apiales; Araliaceae.
GGUCUUCAGGAGAAGCGUAUUAUAUUGCGUUACGGUAAUCAACGGUUCAGGCAAGUUUUUCAAGUUCUUUUUACUUAAACUCUUUUAAGAGUGGUUUCAGACAGAUAUGCUUAUGAAUUGUACUCUGUACAUAUUGCAUGUAUUCAUCAGGUAUGAAAGGCUGAUCACCUUCAUUACCAGUCAGUUCAGAUAUAAUUGUUAUGUUCAUUUUCAAUGUUCAUUCAGCUUUGAAAUUUUGUUCAUGCUAAUUCACAACUACAUUGUGAAGGAUAGCCAGCUUAUUAUUCAAACUCUUUCAAUCAUGAUAUAUCUUUACCUUGUUUUUUUUAAACUUGCUGGGCAACUUUCAUGCUCACCCUUGCUAUAUCAUGAUAAAACAUUGCAGAUAAGGCGAAUACGGCCAGAUACAGGAAAAGGAUAAUGCCAAGUUCAGCUUGGGAUAGAAUGUGAAGUUAAGUUGUAAAGUAUGUUGAAGAAUAGUAUUGUCAUGUGUUAGACAGUUCACGAUUGUGUAUUAGUUAAGGUUACUCGAUUUUGGGAAUAGUGUGUAAAGUUUAAUGUAUAAACAAUUUAUGUUUAUAUCUUCCGCAACAGUUGUAGAAAUAGCAAACCGGAUCCGCGGCGAUUCGGGACCCGGAUUUGGGGGACGCUACAGUUGGUAUCAAAGCUGUUGGUUAUGAAGCUUAGGUAGCAAUACCUUAGACCAAUAACCGCAGUGAUUAGGAUAAGUACUAACUCACAUAGAGUUAGUUGAAGAAUCUCGCAGGGUCAGAAAGUUAGGUUUAAGUAUGGUACCAUUGUACUCGAAACUAGUUGAUGUAUGGUAUCUGGGCUAAACGAUUCCUUCAUAGAGCGGAGGUAUAUACGAACUAGCAACUCGGAACCUAGUUUGUUGGUUGUUUGUGGGAAACCACUCAGCGUACCAUAUUGAAAACUGUUAGAGACUCGAUGUGUACCAAGUAUAGGAAGUGGAUAGAUAGAGUCUAAGAGAUUACAAGUGUAAGGAUGGGAGAUCGUAAAACAAAACGAUCACAGAAUAGCAAUGAAUCGUAAUAUAUACGAUGAGAUCACUCCGUGAUCUGAUAAGGUUAUGGUAUGAAGAAAGAUCCAGAGAAUGAUGAAAAGUUUACAGCAAGAUUGCUGUGUAUGAAUUGUACUAUAAAUUGGUACAGAUCCAGAAGAGAAUUAUAAAUACGAAUUAAAUUCGUAUGGAGAAGGGGUUAGUGUUAGGUGGGGAUUCAAUUGAGGACUCAUGUCGGCAGCUGAGUUGUAUGAUUCUUCGUAUGGGAGCUGAAUUGUACUUGGUGUAAAAACCACUUAGUUUCUGGCACUGAUAAUCAUUGAAAUGU